This 322-nucleotide ribosomal RNA is filed under the name uncultured eukaryote. RNAcentral's name for it is "partial 18S ribosomal RNA". It matches the Rfam family "Eukaryotic small subunit ribosomal RNA", at positions 1470 to 1796 of the family's 1831-position model. The record is from RNAcentral.
CCCUUAGAUGUUCUGGGCCGCACGCGCGCUACACUGAUGCAUUCAACGAGUCUAAAACCUGGUCUGAUAGGGCUGGGUAAUCUUUUGAAAGUGCAUCGUGAUUGGGAUAGAUGAUUGCAAUUCUUCAUCUUCAACGAGGAAUGCCUAGUAAACGCAAGUCAUCAGCUUGCAUUGAUUACGUCCCUGCCCUUUGUACACACCGCCCGUCGCACCUACCGAUUGAAUGGUCCGGUGAAAUCUCGGGACGGCGGCUUGGUCGCUUGCGUCCGACUGCUGAAACUUGAUUAAACCAUAUCAUUUAGAGGAAGGUGAAGUCGUAACA